Molecule: ribosomal RNA, 1472 nt
Filed under: uncultured organism
Description: 16S ribosomal RNA
Rfam family: Bacterial small subunit ribosomal RNA
Source: RNAcentral
GACGAACGCUGGCGGCGUGCCUAAUACAUGCAAGUAGAACGCUGAAGAGAGGAGCUUGCUCUUCUUGGAUGAGUUGCGAACGGGUGAGUAACGCGUAGGUAACCUGCCUUGUAGCGGGGGAUAACUAUUGGAAACGAUAGCUAAUACCGCAUAACAAUAGGUGACACAUGUCAUUUAUUUGAAAGGGGCAAUUGCUCCACUACAAGAUGGACCUGCGUUGUAUUAGCUAGUAGGUGAGGUAACGGCUCACCUAGGCGACGAUACAUAGCCGACCUGAGAGGGUGAUCGGCCACACUGGGACUGAGACACGGCCCAGACUCCUACGGGAGGCAGCAGUAGGGAAUCUUCGGCAAUGGGGGCAACCCUGACCGAGCAACGCCGCGUGAGUGAAGAAGGUUUUCGGAUCGUAAAGCUCUGUUGUAAGUCAAGAACGAGUGUGAGAGUGGAAAGUUCACACUGUGACGGUAGCUUACCAGAAAGGGACGGCUAACUACGUGCCAGCAGCCGCGGUAAUACGUAGGUCCCGAGCGUUGUCCGGAUUUAUUGGGCGUAAAGCGAGCGCAGGCGGUUUGAUAAGUCUGAAGUUAAAGGCUGUGGCUCAACCAUAGUUCGCUUUGGAAACUGCCAAACUUGAGUGCAGAAGGGGAGAGUGGAAUUCCAUGUGUAGCGGUGAAAUGCGUAGAUAUAUGGAGGAACACCGGUGGCGAAAGCGGCUCUCUGGUCUGUAACUGACGCUGAGGCUCGAAAGCGUGGGGAGCGAACAGGAUUAGACACCCUGGUAGUCCACGCCGUAAACGAUGAGUGCUAGGUGUUGGAUCCUUUCCGGGAUUCAGUGCCGCAGCUAACGCAUUAAGCACUCCGCCUGGGGAGUACGACCGCAAGGUUGAAACUCAAAGGAAUUGACGGGGGCCCGCACAAGCGGUGGAGCAUGUGGUUUAAUUCGAAGCAACGCGAAGAACCUUACCAGGUCUUGACAUCCCGAUGCUAUUUCUAGAGAUAGAAAGUUACUUCGGUACAUCGGUGACAGGUGGUGCAUGGUUGUCGUCAGCUCGUGUCGUGAGAUGUUGGGUUAAGUCCCGCAACGAGCGCAACCCCUAUUGUUAGUUGCCAUCAUUCAGUUGGGCACUCUAGCGAGACUGCCGGUAAUAAACCGGAGGAAGGUGGGGAUGACGUCAAAUCAUCAUGCCCCUUAUGACCUGGGCUACACACGUGCUACAAUGGUUGGUACAACGAGUUGCGAGUCGGUGACGGCAAGCUAAUCUCUUAAAGCCAAUCUCAGUUCGGAUUGUAGGCUGCAACUCGCCUACAUGAAGUCGGAAUCGCUAGUAAUCGCGGAUCAGCACGCCGCGGUGAAUACGUUCCCGGGCCUUGUACACACCGCCCGUCACACCACGAGAGUUUGUAACACCCGAAGUCGGUGAGGUAACCUUUUGGAGCCAGCCGCCUAAGGUGGGAUAGAUGAUUGGGGUGAA